This 72-nucleotide transfer RNA is filed under the name Providencia phage vB_PreS_PR1. It matches the Rfam family "tRNA". Rfam says of the family: Transfer RNA (tRNA) molecules are approximately 80 nucleotides in length. Their secondary structure includes four short double-helical elements and three loops (D, anti-codon, and T loops). Further hydrogen bonds mediate the characteristic L-shaped molecular structure. tRNAs have two regions of fundamental functional importance: the anti-codon, which is responsible for specific mRNA codon recognition, and the 3' end, to which the tRNAs corresponding amino acid is attached (by aminoacyl-tRNA synthetases). tRNAs cope with the degeneracy of the genetic code in two manners: having more than one tRNA (with a specific anti-codon) for a particular amino acid; and 'wobble' base-pairing, i.e. permitting non-standard base-pairing at the 3rd anti-codon position. RNAcentral also lists the same sequence under 1 other name. The record is from Rfam by way of RNAcentral. Lineage: Duplodnaviria; Heunggongvirae; Uroviricota; Caudoviricetes; Demerecviridae.
GCACCGUUAGCUGAGAUGGAUUAGCGCAGGUUUGAAGAGCCUGAUAGAGUGGUUCGAUACCACUAUGGUGCA